This is a non-coding RNA of Camellia sinensis, 1677 nucleotides long. The record is from RefSeq and is a predicted model, not a curated record. NCBI's taxonomy places the organism in Eukaryota, Viridiplantae, Streptophyta, Magnoliopsida, Ericales, Theaceae.
CCUUUGAACAUUUCAUUUGUGCUAGAAGCAACUUAGUUUCCCUUUUUCUGUUUUUUGUUUCAGUUUCAUAUCUUUGAUCUUUUUUUCUUUCCUUUUUUUUGUUUGUUUGUUUUGUUUUGUUUGUUUGUAUCUUCAUCGCCGUAAUUGAUUGAUAGACUUGAUGAUGAUGAAACAAAGGAGGAGAUCUAUGUGCAGAUUUGUUCGACAAUUUAGCCCUCUAAAGUCAGAUCUCUGUAUCUCUCUCUAUUUUCCUUCCAUUCCAUAUAUUCGAUUUCCAGAUUUUUUUAAAUUUCUUUUGGUUUUGUCUUCAGCCCUUUAGUCAAGUCAUAGAGACGAUGAUGACGGAGUUAAAGAGAUCUAUACGUAGGUUUUUGGCUCAAACCCAAAUUAUAAACAUUCAUAUCUAUCACAUUUGGUGUUGUUCUAUACGCAGGUUUUUGGCUCAAACCCAAAUUAUAAACAUUCAUAUCUAUCACAGUUGAUGUCGUUUCGUUCAUCGAUUCACAUAUAAAUCUAGCAAAAUCCAAGAGAGGAGUUGUGCAGUUUUAUCCAGUAGAGUUGGAGCAGGAGGUUUACAAGAGUACUCUUCAAUGCAGUUAAACAUUCUCAGAGGCAUCUUCUGUUUGUUGUUUUUUUUUUUGGGUGAGCUACCUCUUUAGUUCUAGUUCAUGAAUAUGCGUUCAAAUCAAACAUUGACAGUCUCACAUAUGCACGUAUCGAGGGGGAUUUUUUUUUCUUCUUAUUUUAGCUAAUUUUUUGUAUAAAUAACUGUUUGUUUACUUUUUAACAGACCAUUAAACUUGCACAUGUUGAGACUGCAUCGAGUUUGUGGUCAUCUCUCUCUCUCUCUCUCUCUCUCUCUCUCUCUCUCUCUUAAUUUGGUAUGCAACUUAUGCAUUAUGAUCAUUAGCCUUUCUGGCCACGCUAAUAUUCUCUGUCGUGUUCUAUGAAAUAGUUAUGAAGUGUCAGUUUUCUCUUGCACAAACCACCCUCCGGCAAAAAAAGAUAGGCAAAUUCCCAAAUUCUUAAACGCUUGGCAAUGCAUUUGCUUAUUUGCAAUACAAUUAUCCCUUUUUUCAAAUGACAAUAAACCUGUUAACUGUGCUACUAGCUCUUCUUGAAUUAUUUUGCAUAUAUUCUUGAUUGUACAAAUUGGAAAACUAUGGUUGAUAAUUAGUGUUGUGUGGGGGUCUUAACAAAGUUAUCUGGCUUGGCUCUCAAGUUAAUAAACUUGAGCUUAAAAUUUAUUGAAUGUUAUAUACUAUUAAGAUCACUGUGCAGCUUAUUGGAAAAAAGUAUCUACACAAUUGCUUGGAACCGGGCUGUGCUUAAAUUCAAAGCAUUUGUGCUUGUGCAAAAAUUUUGGUUCAGCUAAAAUAUUGUAAAUUAUGUUUUUUUAAAGCUAAACUCUAGCAUUGUUCAACCAUGUAUAUUAAUAAAUAGUCAAUGAGUCUUGAUAACUUGGUUUUGGAAUCCUCGAAUGAGGAUUGAUAUCAUUUGGAUGGCCAAAAUUGAUGGGAAUCCUUUUUGAGGAGUUUUGAGAUGCCCAUGACUGAAAUUUUAUAUAAAAUUCAUCUGUCCUUUGAUGGUUUUUACAGCAUUUUGUUGUUAGAAACAUCAUAUUCUAAACCAUGCUCAAAUCAUUUAGGCAAGUUUGUCUCUGAGAAUAUUUUCAGU